This 484-nucleotide ribosomal RNA is filed under the name uncultured bacterium. RNAcentral's name for it is "partial 16S ribosomal RNA". It matches the Rfam family "Bacterial small subunit ribosomal RNA", at positions 30 to 507 of the family's 1533-position model. The record is from RNAcentral.
AUUGAACGCUGGCGGCAGGCCUAACACAUGCAAGUCGAGCGGAUGAAGGGAGCUUGCUCCUGGAUUCAGCGGCGGACGGGUGAGUAAUGCCUAGGAAUCUGCCUGGUAGUGGGGGAUAACGUCCGGAAACGGGCGCUAAUACCGCAUACGUCCUGAGGGAGAAAGUGGGGGAUCUUCGGACCUCACGCUAUCAGAUGAGCCUAGGUCGGAUUAGCUAGUUGGUGGGGUAAAGGCCUACCAAGGCGACGAUCCGUAACUGGUCUGAGAGGACGAUCAGUCACACUGGAACUGAGACACGGUCCAGACUCCUACGGGAGGCAGCAGUGGGGAAUAUUGGACAAUGGGCGAAAGCAUGAUCCAGCCAUGCCGCGUGUGUGAAGAAGGUCUUCGGAUUGUAAAGCACUUUAAGUUGGGAGGAAGGGCAGUAAGUUAAUACCUUGCUGUUUUGACGUUACCAACAGAAUAAGCACCGGCUAACUUCGUG